CAAAUUAAGGUAAGUAACCUGUCUUAAUCUUAUUAUGGAUCAUGUAUCAUGUUUUAUAAGAUGAAAAAGUAUUAUUUAUGCAAUUGGAAUUAUGUAUAAAAAUUGUGGAAAAAGUACAUGAUAUAAUCUUAUGUUUUAUCAAAUACUUGUGAUUACUUGAUUAUGAAAUUGUAUAUGAUUAUUUAUGUUUUCACAAAAUUAAGAUCAAGCAUGUGUUAGCAAAUGAUUACAUGAUUUUGGAUACAUAGC
Molecule: long non-coding RNA, 249 nt
Filed under: Phoenix dactylifera (date palm)
Lineage: Eukaryota; Viridiplantae; Streptophyta; Magnoliopsida; Arecales; Arecaceae
Description: long non-coding RNA (PDAC_LNC000870)
Source: RNAcentral